AUGAGAGAGAACUCCCUUACCCCAGUCAGCCAAUAUGAUCGGAAAACUUCAUCUGAUCUCUGUAAAUGUAUUGAAGUCCAUCAGAAACCCUUGUUCAUUAUACGACAUCCAGGAUACGCCGCAGAAAUACAAUGUGAACACAACUCAGACUCUAACUACAUGUACUGGUAUCGACAGCAAUCAGGACGGCGGAUUGAAUUAAUCGUAUUGGCAGCAACUGGAAGCGAACCACAGUUUGAAAACGAAGCCGAGAAGGAGCGAUAUAAAAUUGUAAAAAGUGAUAUUGGUCGAGGGUCUAUCAAAGUUAAAUCGCUGCGGCCUGAUGAUAUGGCAGUGUACUUUUGCGCAGUUAGUAGACACAGUAACAAAUUAUUAUCAUGGCACCUGUCAAGAAUUCUUUACAUUAUACUGUAGGUGCGGCAAAGGUGCAAUAGUUGAAAAAUAGACGUGCAGUUCUAUUGUACUAUUCUUUGGAUAUAUAUUAAGAUGCAAAUCCUUCGACAUUUCUA
Molecule: non-coding RNA, 509 nt
Organism: Polypterus senegalus (gray bichir)
Lineage: Eukaryota; Metazoa; Chordata; Cladistia; Polypteriformes; Polypteridae
Source: the annotation of a RefSeq genome assembly